UACGGAGGAUCCGAGCGUUAUCCGGAUUUAUUGGGUUUAAAGGGUGCGUAGGCGGACUCUUAAGUCAGUGGUGAAAGUUUGCAGCUCAACUGUAAAAUUGCCAUUGAAACUGAGAGUCUUGAGUGUAAAUGAGGUAGGCGGAAUGUGUUGUGUAGCGGUGAAAUGCUUAGAUAUAACACAGAACACCAAUUGCGAAGGCAGCUUACUAGGAUACAACUGACGCUGAGGCACGAAAGCGUGGGGAUCAAACAGG
RNAcentral lists this ribosomal RNA (253 nucleotides) under uncultured bacterium. RNAcentral describes it as "partial 16S ribosomal RNA". It matches the Rfam family "Bacterial small subunit ribosomal RNA", at positions 524 to 776 of the family's 1533-position model. The record is from RNAcentral.